CCUACGGGUGGCAGCAGUAAGGAAUAUUGGUCAAUGGUGGGAACUCUGAACCAGCCAUGCCGCGUGCAGGAUGACUGCCCUAUGGGUUGUAAACUGCUUUUGUCCAGGAAUAAACCUUUCUACGUGUAGACAGCUGAAUGUACUGGAAGAAUAAGGAUCGGCUAACUCCGUGCCAGCAGCCGCGGUAAUACGGAGGAUCCGAGCGUUAUCCGGAUUUAUUGGGUUUAAAGGGUGCGUAGGCGGCUUUAUAAGUCAGAGGUGAAAGACGGCAGCUUAACUGUCGCAGUGCCUUUGAUACUGUAGAGCUUGAAUGUGAUUGAAGAUGGCGGAAUGAGACAAGUAGCGGUGAAAUGCAUAGAUAUGUCUCAGAACCCCGAUUGCGAAGGCAGCUGUCUAAGUCAUAAUUGACGCUGAUGCACGAAAGCGUGGGGAUCAAACAGGAUUAGAUACCCCAGUAGUC
This 460-nucleotide ribosomal RNA is filed under the name Vreelandella stevensii. Its description in RNAcentral is "partial 16S ribosomal RNA". It matches the Rfam family "Bacterial small subunit ribosomal RNA", at positions 338 to 795 of the family's 1533-position model. Lineage: Bacteria; Pseudomonadati; Pseudomonadota; Gammaproteobacteria; Oceanospirillales; Halomonadaceae. The record is from RNAcentral.